GACGAACGCUGGCGGCGUGCUUAACACAUGCAAGUCGAACGGAAAGGCCCCUUUGGGGGUACUCGAGUGGCGAACGGGUGAGUAACACGUGAGUAACCUGCCCUUGACUUCGGGAUAACUUCAGGAAACUGGGGCUAAUACCGGAUAGGAAUCCUUGCUGCAUGGUGGGGGUUGGAAAGCUUCGGCGGUUUUGGAUGGACUCGCGGCUUAUCAGCUUGUUGGUGGGGUAGUGGCUUACCAAGGCUUUGACGGGUAGCCGGCCUGAGAGGGCGACCGGCCACAUUGGGACUGAGAUACGGCCCAGACUCCUACGGGAGGCAGCAGUGGGGAAUAUUGAACAAUGGGCGGAAGCCUGAUGCAGCAACGCCGCGUGCGGGAUGACGGCCUUCGGGUUGUAAACCGCUUUCAGCAGGGGCGAAGCUUGUGGUGACGGUACCUGCAGAAGAAGCACCGGCUAACUACGUG
RNAcentral lists this ribosomal RNA (465 nucleotides) under uncultured bacterium. RNAcentral describes it as "partial 16S ribosomal RNA". It matches the Rfam family "Bacterial small subunit ribosomal RNA", at positions 28 to 507 of the family's 1533-position model. The record is from RNAcentral.